GACGAACGCUGGCGGCGUGCUUAACACAUGCAAGUCGAACGGAAAGGCCCUGCUUUUGUGGGGUGCUCGAGUGGCGAACGGGUGAGUAACACGUGAGUAACCUGCCCUUGACUUUGGGAUAACUUCAGGAAACUGGGGCUAAUACCGGAUAGGAUCUCCUGCUGCAUGGUGGGGGUUGGAAAGUUUCGGCGGUUGGGGAUGGACUCGCGGCUUAUCAGCUUGUUGGUGGGGUAGUGGCUUACCAAGGCUUUGACGGGUAGCCUGCCUGAGAGGGUGACCGGCGACAAUGGGCCUGAGGGACGGCGCAGACUCCAACGGGAGGCAGCAGGGGGGAAUCUUGCACAAUGAGCGGAAGCCUGAUGCAACAGCGCCGCGUGCGGGAUGACCGCCUUCGGGUUGUAAACAGCUGUCGCCUGUGACGAAGCGUGAGUGACGGUAAUGGGUAAAGAAGCACCGGCUAACUACGUG
RNAcentral lists this ribosomal RNA (468 nucleotides) under uncultured bacterium. RNAcentral's name for it is "partial 16S ribosomal RNA". It matches the Rfam family "Bacterial small subunit ribosomal RNA", at positions 28 to 507 of the family's 1533-position model. The record is from RNAcentral.